ACUCUAUUAAGAGGAACUCGAAGAAGCAAUUUGCUUUUCAAAUGAAAGCCAUGACAUCACUCCUGUGGUAGGCGGAAUGCUCAGAUGGCCUCUUGGUGUACAUGCUCUGUAGGAUCCCCUCCCUUUGAGUAUGUAGAACCAUGGGAUAUCACCCCCCUGAUUAUAUUACCAAUUGGUUGACUUUGAGUCAAUCAAAAGGACGAUGAUCCUGAGUGGGCCUCACAUAAUCAGGCAAGCUUUUCAAAAGAGAUCAUUUCCUGCUGGCCUCUUAAAGGAAAGCAAACAGCCGAAUUGUGACCUGCUUUGGAGCAGCCUCUGGGAGGUGAGAGCCUCAGCCCUAGGAACUGAACUCUGCCAACUGUCAGCAAGCUUCAAGGAGGACCCUGAGCCUCAGAGGACAUGCAGCGUCAGCUGACACCUUGAUUGCAGUCUGGUAAUUCCUUGAGUGGAGAACUCCAUUAACCACUGACCAGACUCCUGGCCCAUAGAAACUGUGAGAUGACAAACUUGUGUUGUGCAGUUCAUUGUGUGCCAGCCUGGCUUUCAACUGCCAGCAUAGCACCAGGCAGGCAGAAAAUGGCAGAGGACUAAUGGUUUCCUGGAGUAGUUUUCAACCUCAGCUCAUGGAAAUUUGUGUAAGAGCAUCCCAGCUCUCUCAUUUCGUUGGGAGGAUAACUGAGAGCAAAAGGAGAGCUUCCGGAAAACAAAGAGCUGGGCGAAAUGGAGUGCAAACCAGUACAACAAGUAGAUUUCAGAGCCCUGAUGAACAUCCCUCCUGACAUUCUGUUUGAAAUAAAGUACUUAUUGAAGAGUUCAAUGUACUAGUUUUCAAAUUUUGAGAGUACUUUGAGGACAUACAUGGCCAUGUUUUCACAACCAAUUUCUGGGACACACUGAAAGGACUGAUUACUUGCUAAUAUGUUUUUUUCUUA
Long non-coding RNA from Mirounga angustirostris (Northern elephant seal), 932 nucleotides. RefSeq lists it as uncharacterized. The transcript is spliced from 3 exons. NCBI's taxonomy places the organism in Eukaryota, Metazoa, Chordata, Mammalia, Carnivora, Phocidae. The record is from RefSeq and is a predicted model, not a curated record.